GUGGGGAAUAUUGGACAAUGGGCGAAAGCCUGAUCCAGCCAUGCCGCGUGUGUGAAGAAGGUCUUCGGAUUGUAAAGCACUUUAAGAUGGGAGGAAGGGCAGUAAGUUAAUACCUUGCUGUUUUGACGUUACCGACAGAAUAAGCACCGGCUAACUUCGUGCCAGCAGCCGCGGUAAUACGAAGGGUGCAAGCGUUAAUCGUAAUUACUGGGCGUAAAGCGCGCGUCGGUGGUUUUGUAAGUUGGAGGUGAAAUCCCCGGGCUCAACCUGGGAACUGCCUCCAAAACUGCAAGAAUAGAGUACGGUAGAGGGUAGUGGAAUUUCCUGUGUAGCGGUGAAAUGCGUAGAUAUAGGAAGGAACACCAGUGGCGAAAGCGACUACCUGGACUGAUACUGACACUGAGGUGCGAAAGCGUGGGGAGCAAACAGGAUUAGAAACCCUUGUAGUCC
Molecule: ribosomal RNA, 450 nt
Filed under: uncultured bacterium
Lineage: Bacteria
Description: partial 16S ribosomal RNA
Rfam family: Bacterial small subunit ribosomal RNA
Source: RNAcentral